AGAGGGCAAAUAAAAAUAAAGAAACAACUUUGCUGACCAUGAUAUAUUUUUAUCUAGGCGGAAGAGUCCUCUUAAUAUUUAUCUAGUCUUAUAUAGGUUUCGGUAUAUUGAAAUAUAAACAUAAAAAAGAAGAUAGAGGAUAGGCUCAUUACUUAAAAAAAAGAUAUGGAAAUAGCUAUAGAAAAAAAAAGGAGCGUGAGAGCCAAAUGAAUCGAAAGAUUCAUGUUUGGUUCGGGAAGAGAUCAUAAAAGUUGUAAACUUACAAAAUAAUCUACUUUCAUUAAAAGAUUUAUUAGAUAAUCGAAAACAGAGGAUCUUGAGUACUAUUCGAAAUUCAGAAGAAUUGCGUAGAGGGACCAUUGAGCAACUCGAAAAAGCUCGGAUUCGAUUACAGAAAGUCGAACUAGAAGCGGAUGAGUAUCGAAUGAAUGGAUACUCUGAGAUAGAACGAGAAAAAGCAAAUUUGAUUAAUGCUACUUCUAUUAGUUUGGAACAAUUGGAAAAGUCUAAAAACGAAACCCUUUAUUUUGAAAAACAAAGGGCAAUGAAUCAGGUCCGACAGCGGGUUU
RNAcentral lists this ribosomal RNA (569 nucleotides) under Triticum aestivum (bread wheat). Lineage: Eukaryota; Viridiplantae; Streptophyta; Magnoliopsida; Poales; Poaceae. The record is from RNAcentral.